RNAcentral lists this ribosomal RNA (439 nucleotides) under uncultured bacterium. RNAcentral's name for it is "partial 16S ribosomal RNA". It matches the Rfam family "Bacterial small subunit ribosomal RNA", at positions 338 to 795 of the family's 1533-position model. The record is from RNAcentral.
CCUACGGGUGGCAGCAGUGGGGGAUAUUGCACAAUGGAGGAAACUCUGAUGCAGCGACGCCGCGUGAGGGAAGACGGUCUUCGGAUUGUAAAACUCUGUCUUUGGGGGAGAAAAUGACGGUACCCAAAGAGGAAGCUCCGGCUAACUACGUCCCAGCAGCCGCGGUAAUAGGUAGGGAGCGGGCGUUGUCCGGAAUUACGGGGUGUAAAGGGAGCGGAGGCGGGCGAGAAAGUUGAAUGUUAAAUCUACCGGCUAAACUGGUAGCUGCGUUCAAAACUUCGUGUCUUGAGGGAAGUAGAGGCAGGCGGAAUUCCUGGUGUAGCGGUGAAAUGCGUAGAUAUUAGGAGGAACACCAGUGGCGAAGGCGGCCUGCUGGACUUUAACUGACGCUGAGGCUCGAAAGCGUGGGGAGCAAAAAGGAUUAGAUACCCCUGUAGUC